RNAcentral lists this unclassified non-coding RNA (371 nucleotides) under soil metagenome. Its description in RNAcentral is "partial contains 5.8S ribosomal RNA, internal transcribed spacer 2, and large subunit ribosomal RNA". The stretch from base 1 to 121 matches the Rfam family "5.8S ribosomal RNA", at positions 35 to 154 of the family's 154-position model. The record is from RNAcentral.
GAUGAAGAACGUAGCGAAAUGCGAUAAGUAAUGCGAAUUGCAGAAUUCCAGUGAGUCAUCGAAUCUUUGAACGCACAUUGCGCCCUUUGGUAUUCCGAAGGGCAUGCCUGUUCGAGCGUCAUUAUCACCCCUCAAGCCCUCGGCUUGGUGUUGGACGGUUUGGUGGAGGCCCCCUCGGGGGUUCCUGCCCCUCCCAAAGACAAUGACGGCGGCCUCGUUGGACCCCCGGUACACUGAGUUCUUCACGGGACACGUAUCGGACACAUGGGUUUACGGGACACGGUCUGCCUCCCCUCAGGGAGAAUCUUUCUAAGGUUGACCUCGGAUCAGGUAGGGAUACCCGCUGAACUUAAGCAUAUCAAAGCGGAGGA